RNAcentral lists this ribosomal RNA (425 nucleotides) under uncultured bacterium. RNAcentral's name for it is "bacterial SSU rRNA". It matches the Rfam family "Bacterial small subunit ribosomal RNA", at positions 354 to 796 of the family's 1533-position model. The record is from RNAcentral.
GUGGGGAAUAUUGCACAAUGGGGGAAACCCUGAUGCAGCGACGCCGCGUGAGCGAAGAAGUAUUUCGGUAUGUAAAGCUCUAUCAGGAGGGAAGAAAAUGACGGUACCUGACUAAGAAGCCCCGGCUAACUACGUGCCAGCAGCCGCGGUAAUACGUAGGGGGCAAGCGUUAUCCGGAUUUACUGGGUGUAAAGGGAGCGCAGGCGGUGCGGCAAGUCUGAUGUGAAAGCCCGGGGCUCAACCCCGGGACUGCAUUGGAAACUGUCGAACUAGAGUGUCGGAGGGGCAAGUGGAAUUCCUAGUGUAGCGGUGAAAUGCGUAGAUAUUAGGAGGAACACCAGUGGCGAAGGCGGCUUGCUGGACGACAACUGACGCUGAGGCUCGAAAGCGUGGGGAGCAAACAGGAUUAGAUACCCCUGUAGUCC